UACUUUCAAACUUUAUUAAAAUAUUAAUGUAAAUAGAAUGCACAUCAUAUAGGUAACAUCACAAUGGAAAAAGGAAAAGGGAGAACUAUAAAUUUUUAAAUUACAAAGUAAAAUGACUACAAAACAUGAAAAUGGCAUAAAUUAGUCAUUCAAAAUAGAAUCUUGAAUAAAAAUAAAAAUAUGAAAUAUUUAAAAUAGACAAGUAGAAAGGUUUUUAAAUGUAACCUAGAAAUUAAUUUAGAAAAUGAUGAUUUCUCUACAGUUUGGCCUCCAAAUAGAACCACAGCAGGCCUUUUUGUUUUUAACUUCAAAAUGAGACAGUAUGAUUGUACAGGUCAUCUUGUUUCCAAAAUAUAUUGCAUAGAGAAAAAACAUUAAGGAUAGUUAUAGUUUAUUAGGUAUGUCUCCACUUUUUCAUCAGUUAGAUAAACACAUACAAACAUAUUUAUGUACAUAUUUGUAUAUAAAGAGAAAAAACUCCAAAAGGCUUUACACUAAACUGUUAGCUAUGAAUUAUAUAUACCUGUUAAAAAGAUAUGAGUGUUAGGAGUUCCCGUCGUGGUGCAAUGGAAAAGAAUCAUGAAUAUGAGGGUUCGAUCCCUGGUCUCCCCCAGUGGGCUAAGGAUCCCAUGUUGCCAUAAGCUGUGGUGUAGGUCGAAGACGCAGCUCAGAUCUGAUGUUGCUGUGCUGUUGGCCAGCAGCUGUAGCUCUGAUUCGACCCCUUGCUGGGAACCUCCAUGUGCCAUGAGCACAGCCAUAAAAAGCAAACAAACAAAAUAUUACGAAUGUUAAAAUAAUAGUUAAAAUAACCAAAACUACUAACUAGGUCUAAAAAAAAAAUAACAUUAAAUAAAGUGGGAUAUAAAACAUAAUGAACAUACAUUUCUGCAUUAAGCAAUAUGUAUAGGAUAACAAAUUAAACAUUUUAGGGAGGUGGAAUUAGGGUUGGAUUAUUUUUAGAAAUUAAAAAUUUAUCACUGCUUGUUAAUUUCUUGGGAUAGCACCUUGUAAUUCAAGUUUUUCCACUUCAAAUCUUAAUUCACAUUUUAUUUUUUCAAAAGACAGCUUGUUUUCACACUGCUAUUGUUAUCAUGCUCUUUACAUAGUAUAUUCUUAUGUGUCCAUGGGUCUGAUUCUACACUUUCUCUUCUGUUCUAUUAAUCUAACUAUUUCUUCUGAUUUUGAUGCCUUAAUAUAUAAUUUUUUUGCACAGAAAUCCAUCCUUUGUUACUUUUUUCCCCACAAAACUUUCCUGGACAUUUCACACAUUUAUUAUUGCAGUUGAUCUGUACAUCUUUUUGUUAAAUGAAAAAUCAAGAACAAUGCUUUUGAAUAAUUAUUGCAUAUGGAGAGUAAAUUGACAGGAUAAUUUGAGGGAAUUCAACAUGUAAUUUAACAAUUGAAUGAAGUGACUCUCACAUUACAAGAAUAGUACAGUUCCAUUGACUCAUUCCCAGCUAACAGGUAAAAGUUUAUAUCUAUUACAAUCCAUAUAAGAAAAAUAACAAUAUCCUGUUUCUUUUGUUUUAACUUUGAAGGAUGAAAUGGAAGACAAAGUCAUAAUGAGAAAAGUGUUCCUAAUUUGAUUAUAAAAUUUAAAAAUGCUUUAUUAAUUUUGACUUUUAGUUAAAUCAACAUGAAGUUUUCCACUUAUCUUUCAGAAGUAUCAAAGCAAGAAACUCAGGGUACUCAUGUGAUACUGAAUGGUAGAAACAGCUGAAUCUAAAUAGGCUAAUCUUAACUUAGGAGCAAAGAAUAAUUCUGACAUCCAACAGAGACAUCAUUUUAAAUUAUUUGGUCUCUUAUACCUCAGUGAGACUAUUAGGGCUUUUUGCCCCUUGAGCCUCUAUACAGUGUGCUGUCAGAAAUGGUAAUUAAGCCUAUCACUGAAAAAAGGGGGAAUAGUAAGGGAAAAAAUUAUCAUUUCUUAAAUGUCUGUUGUGGGAUAAAUACUUUGUAUUUACCUUUUUUUGUGGGGGAGAAUACAGUACAAAAGUUGAACUGGAAGGCAACUAAAGUUCACUUUCCUCCCUUCAGUUAACUCAUUUAAAUACAUAAUUCAGAACUUUAGGUUAAAUGAUUUGUUAGUUUCUAUAAAAUUUCAACUUUUCUGUAUAACUAAAAUUGUUACUGUUGAUCAAUUUGAAUAAAUCCCAUUUUAGUUCUAAUUUUGUAAGUACAAAAGUUCCAUAAACUAAGUCUGAAAAGUUCAGUUGAUAAUACCUACUCCUAUAUUUAGUGCACAUAUUUAGCCCUGAAAGCAUUUUAUAACCAUAUGCAUCUCUAGAACUUCAUCAUUUUUUAAGCUUGGGACUAAUGCUUGAGCAGAAAUGAUCUUAUAACAAAUCUGAUGCCCUACUUAUACAUCUGGGAGAUAUCAUAAUGCUUUCAACUGUUAUUUUGGAAUAAUUUUCCUUUUCUUUUCAAUUACUUUUUAUGAAUUUCUCUGUAUUUCUAUAAAAAAAUUGCUUCUUUUGUUAUGUGGGGAUUAUAUCUACUUUGACAUACAAAAUACAUUUUUCUGAGUGUCGCUUAAGUGUCCUAAAAUUCAUUUUUCUUGAUCUCAAUGGCAAAUAAGGGAUUAAGGAGUUCCCAUAGUGGCUCAGUGGUUAAUAAACCCGACUAGGAACCAUGAGGGUGUGGGUUCGAUCCCUGGCCUUGCUCAGUGGGUUAAGGAUCCAGUGUUGCCAUGAGCUGUGGUGUAGGUUGUAGACGUGGCUCGGAUCUGGCAUUGCUAUGGCUGUGGUGCAGGCCAGCAGCUGUAGCUCCAAUUGGAGCCCUAGCCUGGGAACCUCCAUAUGCCGUGGGUGUGGCCCUAAAAAGACAAAAGACAAAAAAUAAAUAAAUAAAUAAAACUAAGGGAUUGGAAUAUGUUUUUCCAUACAUUUCUAACUAUUUUGAUAACUAUUUGUUAUCAUUAUAUGUUCAAUUUUCUAGGACUUGAUAUGUUCAAAGUGAGUUGAAAAUUCAGCCUUAAUCAAGUUCUAUCAAGUUUAAGUGAAUAUGUAAAAGUUUCACUUAAACAGGGUGAUGGGCCCUGGGCCUUGUGCUCUGAAGCCUCUCAUAUGCACCAAGGCAACAAAGGCUGGAUGCUCUUGUGUCACUUUUAUGUAGGCUUCCCAACUGCUAUACAGUGGACUAGUAAUAGAAGGCAGAGGAUGGGGGAAUAAGAUGCUCUGUUGCUAACUUUCUCUGAUCCUAUGUCCUACUUUCAAAAUCAGAAGGCAGAACUAGAUAAAUCUUCAUUCCUUCCAGCUUUUUAAAAACAUGUUUUUUUUGCUUUUUUUUCAAUUUGAGCAAACUAAUUUAAAAUAAAUUUCCCUGGAGUAUAAACGUUGACAGUAGAGGACACCAUAUGAGUUUUCACCAAACCCUGCAGUUCUCAUGGUAUGUGCUUGAUCCUAUAAACUUUUUGAAGUUUUUAUUUGACACUGAAGAAAAAGAAUGUUAAGGAAUUAUCCUAAAGUUAAUUAGAAUUGGAAUUACAUUUAGCUAUAGAUACAAAUUAGAUAUUUUUUCUAUAGAGCCAUGAUUCUGCUCAAGAAGGACACAGGUUCGAUCCCUGGUCUCACUCAUUGGGUUAAUGAUCCAGCAUUGCCGUGAGCUGUGGUGUAGGUCACAGACCUGGCUAAAAUCUGGUGUUGCUGUGGCUGCGGUGUAGGCCAGCAGCUACAACUCUGAUUUGACCCCUAUUCCUGGGAACCUCCACAUGCUGCAGGUGUGGCCCUAAAAAAUAAAAUAAAUAAAAUAAAAUAAAAUUUUAAAUGACAUAGUUAUGUAAAAACAAUUUUAGAAUAAAGGGCAAAGAAAUGCAAAUCUCUUUGAAAAGCAGGUCCCUUUCUAAUUAAUUUUAAUGUUAGUUGUAAUCUUCCAUGCUUCCACUGCCAAGUUUAUUGAAUGGUCUACAUUUGCAGUCUCCAUUUCAUUCACACAUAAAUACACCUGGACAUGACUUACACACCCACUACUUGCUUGCAAUAACUGCCGCCAAGCUACUAAUGAUUGUCAAACCCCACAAACACUGUUUUUAGUAUUUAACAGUCUCCUAUUUUCUCAAAGCCUUUCUCCUUACAUUGCUUAUGACACUGCCUCACUUAGCUGCUCUUCUCUUUGGUUGCUCUUUUUUUUUUUUUCUUCUGUUUUUCUAGGGCCACACCCAUGGCAUAUGGAGGUGCAGCCCUAAAAAGACCAAAGACCAAAAGAAAAAAAAAUUCAGAAAUUCAAAUCUUACUUUCUAAUAAUAUGAGGCGUGAACUUUGCUUAAAAAAGAACAAUUUUGGCAUCACAAAUUGUAGUAAUGCAAUAAGCUCAAAAUCAACUAUUUAUAAAGGAAUAUUGGAUAAAUUCACAAGUUAUAAAUUCAAACAAGUCUAAGUUGUAUGUUGGCUUAAAAAAUUUAAAAAGCUGCUGGUAAAGAAAGUAGUCCACUGGGGGAAAACUUAUUAGACUGAAAACUCUUAGUUUUCCAAAAACCAACCAACCAACCAAAACCAACCCUCAAAUAGCAAAAAGUAGGAUAAAUUACAGGGGUUUUUGGGGGGUAAAAUUUGUUUUCUUAGCAUUUAGAAAGCGGCUAGCCUCACAGACAUGAACAGAGUAUAUGAGGUAUAAAGGAAGAGUAGAGACACAACUAUACUGAUAUAACAAUUGAAACUAUGUACAUAUUAAGGAAAGAUAUAAAUUCCUAUCUGCACAAACUUCACCUUUCACCUUGAUGUUUCUUGGGUCUUUUUUGGUUAGA
RNAcentral lists this long non-coding RNA (4741 nucleotides) under Sus scrofa (pig). RNAcentral's name for it is "lncRNA (ENSSSCG00030004111.1)". The record is from RNAcentral. Lineage: Eukaryota; Metazoa; Chordata; Mammalia; Artiodactyla; Suidae.